Paramuricea clavata is the source of this 567-nucleotide non-coding RNA. Lineage: Eukaryota; Metazoa; Cnidaria; Anthozoa; Malacalcyonacea; Plexauridae. The record is from the annotation of a GenBank genome assembly.
CAUUCGUCCAAAAAAUUAUAAAAAGUCGCUGUUAUGUGGACUUAUCUCGCAGACUUCGGCUGAAGUCAAAAAUGGCGGUGUGAGAAAGGCUGCAAUAAAGUUUGUUGUUGUUUUUAUUUGGAGUUUGCUCGUCCAUUCAUUGCAAUUCUAUAAUUAAAGAUUUUUAGAUUCUUUAUGUGAAGAGUCGAAGGCAAUAGUAAAAACUGUGUGUUGUGUUGGGCUUUUGUCAGUUGAUUCAAUCAGUUUUAUACUGUUUGAAUAUUUGUUCCUUCACCUUGCACUUUUAUUCAAAACAAUUUUAAUUAAGAACAUUUUGUCCCAAGUUUUGAUUGGCUGACCGAUGUGAUUUAAUACAAGCAAACAAAAUUUUUUCGACUUUCAGCAUCUUGUUGUCUAUUUUGUACACUUGUCGGCUUUCCAAAGUCAUUGUUUGUUUUAAUUAAUAGCUAAAAGUGGGAGUCUUAUUCUGUUUGUUUUCAAACUAUAUAAUAUAAAAAAGGAGAAAAACCAGAGUAAUUUAUUCCUACACGUUUUCACAUCUGAUGAUUUGUCCGACUAAAAGACGAU